UAUUUUGACUAUACAAAGGUAUUGUAAUAAGAUUUUAAUUGAAUGCUAAAAGAAUGGAAAUUUAAAAAAAAACUUUUUUAAAAAUAAAAAUUGAAUUUUUUUUAAUUUGUGCAAAAACAAUUAUAUUAAUUAAAGACAAGAAGACCCUAAGAAUUUAAGAUUUUACAAUUAAAAAGUUUUUUUUUAAAAUCUUGAUUGGGGCGAUCAAAAAAUAUUAAUAACUUUUUAAAAUUUAAAUUGAUCUAUUAUUAAUAAACUAAUGAAUUAAAUACUCUAGGGAUAACAGCGUAAUAAUUUUUGAUAGAUCUUAUUGACAAAAUAGUUUGCGACCUCGAUGUUGGAUUAGGAUUCUUUUUUAAUGAAGAAGUUAAAAAAAGAAGUUUGUUCAACUUUUAAAUUCCU
This 402-nucleotide ribosomal RNA is filed under the name Camelus dromedarius (Arabian camel). RNAcentral's name for it is "partial large subunit ribosomal RNA". Lineage: Eukaryota; Metazoa; Chordata; Mammalia; Artiodactyla; Camelidae. The record is from RNAcentral.